GUGGGGAAUCUUCCGCAAUGGACGAAAGUCUGACGGAGCAACGCCGCGUGAGUGAUGACGGCCUUCGGGUUGUAAAGCUCUGUGAUCGGGGACGAAUGGCUGGUAUGCUAAUACCAUAUCAGAGUGACGGUACCCGAAUAGCAAGCCACGGCUAACUACGUGCCAGCAGCCGCGGUAAUACGUAGGUGGCAAGCGUUGUCCGGAAUUAUUGGGCGUAAAGCGCGCGCAGGCGGCGUCUUAAGUCCAUCUUAAAAGUGCGGGGCUUAACCCCGUGAUGGGAUGGAAACUGGGAGGCUGGAGUAUCGGAGAGGAAAGUGGAAUUCCUAGUGUAGCGGUGAAAUGCGUAGAGAUUAGGAAGAACACCAGUGGCGAAGGCGACUUUCUGGACGAUGUCUGACGCUGAGGCGCGAAAGCUAGGGGAGCGAACGGGAUUAGAUACCCGGGUAGUCC
This 450-nucleotide ribosomal RNA is filed under the name uncultured bacterium. Its description in RNAcentral is "partial 16S ribosomal RNA". It matches the Rfam family "Bacterial small subunit ribosomal RNA", at positions 354 to 796 of the family's 1533-position model. The record is from RNAcentral.